ACACUCUGUUUUUAUGUAAAUUUAAGUAAUGGUUGACAAUGUUGAGAUGUUGAGAAUCCCACGUUGAAAAACCUAUGGGAAUAGAAGAGGCUACUCUUCUCCUAGCUUUUGAGAUAAAACUUCAUUAAUUCAAUUUUGAGGAUGGAUAACCUUUGACUUAUUGCAAAUUUUGCUGAUGGUUUUUUUUUUUUUUGUAACUUAGCACUCGUGAAGAACUUUCAAGUUUCAUCAACUUGUUAGUAUUUAAUCAUCUGUUGCACCUCCAUUGACUACUUCCAUUCUUUUGGUUUGUAACUUGGAAGGGGCACUAUCUUAAUGUUGUUGGUUAUGAGUUAGUAUUUGACAACUUGGUUUUCCAUUGUUGUUUAUAUUGUAUUAGUGUUUUUCUCUGGCUAGUGCACAACAGCAUUGUUUCUUUAUAUCUACGUGAAUUUGCAAUCAAAUUGUUAGUGCUUUGGUAGUUUGUUCCGUGGUUGUGUUCAGAAAAAUUUACCCCAAAAUUUUUGGCCCAUGAAGUUAUGGAUGAUGAAAAUUAGAAAGCCCAGAACCAUUGAUAUAUUCUAAUAAGAACAUUUUUGUAUAAGAAAUGAAUAUUUCACUGAAUACUGGGAAUCUAACCUACCUUGAGUAGUUGCUGUACAAUAAAUAAAUAAGGCACUCAACUAAUUGGAGGUGACUCAAGAGGAGGAACAACCAUCAUAGGUCGAUCAAGUGGUAAAUAGAGGGAUAUGACCUUGAUAAAAGGCUAAAAGGUUAUAGGUUCAUUCAUCCAUAGUAACUACCUACCUAAGAUUUAAUAUCAUUGACACCAAAAUCUUGUAGGGUAAAGCAUAUUACUUCAUAAUGUUAGUUUAGGUGUAUGUAAGUUGGCUUAGACACUCGUAGAUACAAAAAAUAGAAAAAACAUAGAAGGAGGAAUAAUUGUCUAAAGACCUCCAUGGAGGCACCAAAACUAACAUUGUUCCACAAUUUGAAAAAUCCCUAAAAUAUUGCUAAAUAUUGCUCCGACCAUAUCUUCUUCUUUUUCCUAGUGUAUCUUCUAGCGUUGGCUACUAAAUAGGUGCUUAUCACCUUUUUGGUUCUGAAAAUAAAUAAUUGAAAAACAGGCAAUGCUGAUAUUAGUUAGAUUCCAUCCCAAUGCCACCCAAAACCUAUCGAUUAUACUCUACAAAGUUUAUUCAUGGCAUCAGAGAAGGAUAUGGUCAAUGGAGAUUGAGACUGUAGGAAUAUUUCUUUACUUUUUGGUGGGAGGGAUGGAAGAUUUUAGGUUAUGUGAAACAUGGUUACUGGUUUGAGGAGGCACAAGGUGAUUCGAACAGGGCUUUUGAGAAAUUCGCUGCUGUGAAUGACAGUAAGAAAGUCCUAUGUGCUACGGUUAUUCAUAUCUUUGAAGUGCAUGACAGCUAAUGUGGUAGAUAGAAAUAAUGGACGGAUUGUCGCAACUGCAUCCACAGUCGAACACUCCAUCCAAGGCUCACUUGAAUGUGGCCGGUCUUGCAAUGCUAAGGCAGCAGCCAUUGUUGGAGAGGUGUUGGCUACGUGACUCAAAGUCGAUGGUCUCAGACAGGGGCAAGGAAGAGGCAUUCAUGCAGACAUAAACAAGGAAAUCGAGAAGAAAGGAUUUAAAAACGGCACAAAAAUCUGGGCUAUAGUGAAUUCGCUCAAGAAUAACAGAGUUAAACGUAUACUCGACAACAAUGUUGACGAGCCAUCUCGGUUGAGCUCUCAAUAAGCUCCUAAGGCAAUCUUAUCGUCCUUCCCUAGAUGACUAGAGCUCAACCAGUCAUGAGAAAAAACUAGAUACUGCUAAAAUGGAAUGCUAAAAUGGAAGGAACUAUCUUUAUUAGUUACAAUCAGAUUAAACAUCACUCACUAAUGAUAUUUGGAAGUUUAUGAAAUAGAGACAACUUUUUAUCUCCACUUCUUAAAUGGUGGCAUAGUGAUAGUGAUACCACAACCCACUUGGGGUAAUGAUGAUGUUAUAUCACAGUGAAAUGACCUUUUAUGAUCAUCACAACUCUACCUUACUUUCUCCUUUUUCUUCCAUGUAUUACUUAGUUUCCUUUUUCUCCA
Molecule: long non-coding RNA, 2073 nt
Organism: Cucumis sativus (cucumber)
Lineage: Eukaryota; Viridiplantae; Streptophyta; Magnoliopsida; Cucurbitales; Cucurbitaceae
Exons: 2
Source: RefSeq, a predicted model, not a curated record